RNAcentral lists this long non-coding RNA (213 nucleotides) under Mus musculus (house mouse). RNAcentral's name for it is "long non-coding RNA chr2:140044491-140044704". The record is from RNAcentral. Lineage: Eukaryota; Metazoa; Chordata; Mammalia; Rodentia; Muridae.
UAUAAUAGUUACAAUGAAGGAGGAAAUUUUAAUGAAAAUAAUAAUAAUGAUGACAAAAACUAUAAUGACUUUAGAAAUUAUAAUGGACAGUAGCAAUCAAACUAUGAACCCAUGAAGGGGGACAAUUUUGAUAGAAGAAGCUCAGGCAGCCCCUAUGGUGGUAACUUUGGAUCUGAUGGUAGAAAUGGUGGUUAUGGUAUCAGAAGAUUUUAA